AAAAAAUUCAUUGGAUUUCAAGGAAUUAAGCAAGUAAAGAAUCAGGACAGUCCGUAAAUAGCUAAUUACAUCGAGGGUUAUUAUUGGACUCGCCUCCUCAGAAAUUGGGAGGUGCGGAAACUAAUAUUAAGCCUUACGAGAUUUCAGUUGGCAUUUAGGGUAAUGAAUGUCUAUCGGGGACAUCGUAGCGGUUGUCACGGGCUCGAGGAGAGUACCGAGUCAUGACAGUGUUGUUCUAAGUGGUGGUUAUGGUGGAGAAAGGAGGUUAAGAUUCAAUGUUUUGGCUUAGGUUUAGAGAGAGAAGAGGCAGAAAGGCUUUUGGAACCCAAGUUUCUUGGGCAUUUUUGAGCCCAAGCUUCGAUAUGAGACUUAACUUUUUAUUAUUAGGUUUUUAUGGGUUUUGUUUGAAGUUUGAUUAUUUAGUGUUCAUUUGCAUUA
Molecule: small RNA, 438 nt
Filed under: Theobroma cacao (cacao)
Lineage: Eukaryota; Viridiplantae; Streptophyta; Magnoliopsida; Malvales; Malvaceae
Description: sRNA Tc01v2_g021970
Source: RNAcentral